UUCUCCUGGGAAACGGGUGGUAAUGCCGGAUGCUCCAGUUGAUCGCAUGGUCUUCUGGGAAAGCUUUCGCGGUAUGGGAUGGGGUCGCGUCCUAUCAGCUUGACGGCGGGGUAACGGCCCACCGUGGCUUCGACGGGUAGCCGGCCUGAGAGGGCGACCGGCCACAUUGGGACUGAGAUACGGCCCAGACUCCUACGGGAGGCAGCAGUGGGGAAUAUUGCACAAUGGGCGCAAGCCUGAUGCAGCGACGCCGCGUGAGGGAUGGAGGCCUUCGGGUUGUAAACCUCUUUUAUCGGGGAGCAAGCGAGAGUGAGUUUACCCGUUGAAUAAGCACCGGCUAACUACGUGCCAGCAGCCGCGGUAAUACGUAGGGUGCAAGCGUUAUCCGGAAUUAUUGGGCGUAAAGGGCUCGUAGGCGGUUCGUCGCGUCCGGUGUGAAAGUCCAUCGCUUAACGGUGGAUCCGCGCCGGGUACGGGCGGGCUUGAGUGCGGUAGGGGAGACUGGAAUUCCCGGUGUAACGGUGGAAUGUGUAGAUAUCAAA
This 542-nucleotide ribosomal RNA is filed under the name Bifidobacterium longum. RNAcentral describes it as "bacterial SSU rRNA". It matches the Rfam family "Bacterial small subunit ribosomal RNA", at positions 145 to 701 of the family's 1533-position model. Lineage: Bacteria; Bacillati; Actinomycetota; Actinomycetes; Bifidobacteriales; Bifidobacteriaceae. The record is from RNAcentral.